AUUGAACGCUGGCGGCAGGCCUAACACAUGCAAGUCGAGCGGAUGAAGGGAGCUUGCCCCUGGAUUCAGCGGCGGACGGGUGUGUAAUGCCUAUGAAUCUGCCUCGUAGUGGGGGAUAACGUCCGGAAACGGGCGCUACUACCGCAUACGUCCUGAGGGAGAAAGCGUGGGACCUUCGGACCUCACGCUAUCAGAUGAGCCAGGGUCGGAUUAGCUAGUUGGUGGGGUAUGGGCCUACCAAGGCGCCGAUCCGCAACUGGUCUGAGGGGUUGAUCAGUCACACUGGAACUGAGACACAGUCCAGACUCCUACGGGAGGCAGCAGUGGGGAAUAUUGGACGAUGGGCGAAAGCCUGAUCCAGCCAUGCCGCGUGUGUGAAGAAGGUCUUCGGAUUGUAAAGCGCUUUAAGUUGGGGGGAAGGGCAGUAAGUUAAUACCUUGCUGUUUUGACGUUACCAACAGAAUAAGCACCGGCUAACUUCGUG
RNAcentral lists this ribosomal RNA (484 nucleotides) under uncultured bacterium. Its description in RNAcentral is "partial 16S ribosomal RNA". It matches the Rfam family "Bacterial small subunit ribosomal RNA", at positions 30 to 507 of the family's 1533-position model. The record is from RNAcentral.